AAUUACACGAACACCUAUUAACCCUUCCCCACUACUGAAUGAUUCUAUAAAAUAUAGAAAACACUAUGCUAGAACUAGUAACAAGAAUUUAACAUUCUCCUAAAUGUAAGUAUUAACCAAAAUGGAUUCUCCACUGGUAAUUAACGAAAAUGAACACACUACAGUAACUUCCUAGAAAACCCUGUAAAAACCCUUCGUCAACCUAACACCAGAACAUUGCCGGAAAGAUUAAAAGAGAAAGAAGGAACUCGGCAAAUUUUGAUCCCGCCUGUUUACCAAAAACAUCGCCUCUUGACUCUAAUAAGAGGUCCAGCCUGCCCAGUGACAAAGUUCAACGGCCGCGGUACCCUAACCGUGCGAAGGUAGCAUAAUCACUUGUUCUUUAAAUAAGGACUAGUAUCAAUGGCAUCACGAGGAUCGCACUGUCUCCUAUCUCUAAUCAGUGAAACUGAUCUCCUCGUGAAAAAGCGAGGAUAGAACUAUAAGACGAGAAGACCCCAUGGAGCUUUAAACCUUCCAGCAACUUAAUGAAAUACUCCUUUAUAAUUACAAAGAAAUGCCUACGGUUUUAAGUUGGGGCGACUGCGGGGUAAAAACCAACCCCCACGACGAAAAGACAUAAACCUUUAUCCAAGAGCCACUACUCUAAGAAUUAGGACACUAACGUAAAAUGACCCAUCAAUGAUCAACGAACCAAGUUACCCUGGGGAUAACAGCGCAAUCUACUUCAAGAGCCCAUAUCGACAAGUAGGCUUACGACCUCGAUGUUGGAUCAGGGUAUCCCAGUGGUGCAGCCGCUACUGAAGGUUC
RNAcentral lists this ribosomal RNA (810 nucleotides) under Philautus tectus (Gunung Mulu bubble-nest frog). Its description in RNAcentral is "partial 16S ribosomal RNA". It matches the Rfam family "Bacterial large subunit ribosomal RNA", at positions 1496 to 2574 of the family's 2925-position model. The record is from RNAcentral. Lineage: Eukaryota; Metazoa; Chordata; Amphibia; Anura; Rhacophoridae.